AAAAACAUCAUCACAGCCGACGAUCUUUUUGCCCAGAUUGCUGCCUUUGAUCAAAGGAUGGAGAUGCUAGGCGACUCAUCUUCAGGCGGGUUCCAUUCAUCCGCUAAUGCGGUCUACAGAGGCCGUGGCCAGUCCCGUGACAGAUCUCGCGGGCGUGGAGGAAGAGGCCGUGGCCGUGGUGAUCGUGGUGACCGCGAUGACCGACAGUCGUCUUCCUCCAAUGGAGGCGGCGGAUUCAGAGGCCGUCCUCGACAGCAACAACAACAGCAGGUUCGUGAGCAACAACAUGACUAUCCAGAAUGUCAGAUAUGCUACAGACACCAUCCAGGAGGUGCACGAGUUUGCUGGUGGCGUUAUGAAGAAAACGACCAGGAAGAAAAGGAGGCGCAUGCAGUCUCCUAUGGCGUGGACACCAACUGGUACGCCGACAGUGCAGCAACAAACCACAUCACAGGUGAACUUGACAAGUUGACGAUGCAGGAGAAGUACAAUGGAGGCGACCAAAUUCGGACGGCAAGCGGUUCUGGUAUGGAUAUCACACACAUUGGCAGU
RNAcentral lists this ribosomal RNA (552 nucleotides) under Triticum aestivum (bread wheat). RNAcentral's name for it is "partial small subunit ribosomal RNA". The record is from RNAcentral. Lineage: Eukaryota; Viridiplantae; Streptophyta; Magnoliopsida; Poales; Poaceae.